GAUGAACGCUGGCGGCGUGCUUAACACAUGCAAGUCGAACGAUGAAGCCCAGCUUGCUGGGUGGUUUCGUGGCGAACGGGUGAGUAACACGUGAGUAACCUGCCCUUAACUCUGGGAUAAGCCUGGGAAACUGGGUCUAAUACCGGAUAGGAGCGUCCAUCGCAUGGUGGGUGUUGGAAAGAUUUAUCGGUUUUGGAUGGACUCGCGGCCUAUCAGCUUGUUGGUGAGGUAAUGGCUCACCAAGGCGAUGCCGGGUAGCCGGCCUGAGAGGGUGACCGGCCACACUGGGACUGAGACACGGACCAGACUCCAACGGGAGGCAGCAGUGGGGAAUAUUGCACAAUGGCCGCAAGCCUGAGGCAGCGACGCCGCGUGAGUGAUGACGGCCUUCGGGUUGUAAACCUCUGUCAGUAGGGAAGAAGCGAAAGUGACGGUACCUGCAGAAGAAGCACCGGCUAACUACGUG
This 466-nucleotide ribosomal RNA is filed under the name uncultured bacterium. RNAcentral's name for it is "partial 16S ribosomal RNA". It matches the Rfam family "Bacterial small subunit ribosomal RNA", at positions 28 to 507 of the family's 1533-position model. The record is from RNAcentral.